AUACGUAGGGUGCAAGCGUUAAUCGGAAUUACUGGGCGUAAAGCGCACGCAGGCGGUUUGUUAAGUCAGAUGUGAAAUCCCCGGGCUCAACCUGGGAACUGCAUCUGAUACUGGCAAGCUUGAGUCUCGUAGAGGGGGGUAGAAUUCCAGGAGUAGCGGUGAAAUGCGUAGAGAUCUGGAGGAAUACCGGUGGCGAAGGCGGCCCCCUGGACGAAGAUUGACGCUCAGGUGCGAAAGCGUGGGGAGCAAACAGGAUGAGAUACCCGGGUAGUCCACGCCGUAAACGAUGUCGACUUGGAGGUUGUGCCCUUGAGGCGUGGCUUCCGGAGCUAACGCGUUAAGUCGACCGCCUGGGGAGUACGGCCGCAAGGUUAAAACUCAAAGGAAUUGGCGGG
Molecule: ribosomal RNA, 395 nt
Filed under: uncultured bacterium
Lineage: Bacteria
Description: partial 16S ribosomal RNA
Rfam family: Bacterial small subunit ribosomal RNA
Source: RNAcentral